Long non-coding RNA from Zingiber officinale, 6736 nucleotides. RefSeq lists it as uncharacterized. NCBI's taxonomy places the organism in Eukaryota, Viridiplantae, Streptophyta, Magnoliopsida, Zingiberales, Zingiberaceae. The record is from RefSeq and is a predicted model, not a curated record. The transcript is spliced from 2 exons.
AUUUUGAAAUUUGAUACUUAUUUGAUGUAUUGAUUGCUUGUUUGUGUUCAUGUUUUAAUUAUGGUAUGAAUUCAUUGUUGGUUGAAUUGUAAUUGACUUGAAUUCCCCAUGUUUUGGAUUUCAUGUAUCCGGGUCUGUUUUGAGGAUGCUUUCAACGUGUCCGAUGAAAUUCCUCAACCAUUUGUGUUACUCUGAUUGUUACAUUUAAGUUCGUUAAAUUCUUGCAAUGAUUUAGUUAGUUGAGUGCUUAUUGUUAAUUUAAUGCUUGUUCUUCAUGUAGAUUCAAUUAGUUUAGAUCAGAUUAGGUUCUGUUAAAUGAUAUAGGUUUCUUUUAUUUCAUGCUUUAGGAUCAGUAAAUGCUUUAUUCUCUUCAUGCUGUCUUUCCUAUUCUUCCAUUGUAGUCUAGGCUAGGUUAGGCUCUUAUCACGUGCAUUGCUUUUCAUUCCUUAGUCUUAGAACACAAACCCCCCAUUUAAACUUCAAAAAUACCAAGCAAUAAUAUUCAAUCCUGAGUUUAUCACCCUACUGAUACAUUCAUUGGGAGACGACCCGAGUCAUUUCUAUGCUACAUUAGUGUAGAAUAAAUUUGGUUACUUAAUUCUUUUGAUACCUAUUUCACGAUAAAAUUAGGGUUUAUCAAAAUUGGCAUCGUUGCUGGGGAAUUGUAGUAGUGUUUGAUAGCUUAGGAUUGUUUCUUUUUCUUUUCAUAAAAAAAUUUGAAAAAAAUUGUUGUUAAAUGCUUUAAUGUUCAUACAUCCAUGUGUUUGAUUUUAUAUGUUCCUGUGUCUUCUAAUCUUAUCUGCUAAUGUUUCAGUAUAAGAGUGGGAAAUUUCUUUGACCAUGGAUCCAUAUUAUCAGUAUUUUGGAAGUGGGAUGGAGAGUAUGAGGACACACAAGGUCAAUUUACUGAGCCAUACCCAGCUUACCAGAGUGAUCCAGCUCCCUGGGGAACAUUUCAAGAUGAAGUUCAAGCCCCUAGUUCAACAUUGGACCUCCAGGAGAUUAUCUAGCUAAUGAUAGAGCAUCAAAAGAAAUAAUUUACAGAUAUACAAAAUUUACAGAUACAAGUAAACCAAUUUACAUCGUCCAUUAGCCAACAACAAGCACCAUGUUUCAGUGAGAAGAGGGAUUGUAGUGUUUUUGAUAGACCUGAUCUUGUUUCCAUUACUCCACAGGAAUCCUCUAGUAUUUCUUGUUGUGAUGCUUUAGUUGUAAGGAUUUCUGACUCUAUUGAUACUAUUGUUGUAGAUAUUGUUGAUGAUGCAGGUACUGAUGUUGAUGAAAAGGAGAAUGUAGGGGAUUGUAUAGUGGAAGCAAUACCCCAAUAAUCACCUCUUUCAGUUGCACAAUCACCGGAACCAUAUGUUGAUAAUGUAAGUGUAGGGGAUUGCACAUUGGAAGCAAUACCCCAAGAAUCAUCUGAACUAGAGCUUGAGCUAUUACUUGAUGAUGAGGAGGUCACAGUCACCAUUCUAGAACCUCUAGAUACGUUUCAACAUGACAAGUUUAGUAUUUCUUGUGAUUCAUCAGAAAAUUUUAUAGAGGUACCAUUAAUUGACUUUAUUGGAUGCAAUGCAUUUCUUGAACCAUGUGGUAUAGAAACUAAUAUUUUUUCAUGCUUGUGAGAGGUGUUGCCUUUUAUUGAUUUUGUAAGAGAUUAUAAGCUUCUAGAGUGGAUGCUUAAAUUGAACCGUCAUCAACCUCCGAGAAGAACUUUCAAAAAGAAUAGGGUGAAGGGAGAGGUCAUUACUUCAAAUGCAAUCAUUCCACUACUGGCAUGGAUCUUACUUCUUAACCGACUCCAACCACUGGGAAUAAUCAUUCCAAUACUGACAUGGAUGUUACUUUUAAAUCGUUUCCAACCACUGGGAAUAAAGGGGAGUUCGUUCUUUACUUUUCUUUUUGCUUUAUACUUUUCUUUAGUUUCAUACUUUACUUGCAUUUUACUUCCAUACUUUGCACUUUGUUUGGUCUACAUAGCAUUUCAUUUUGAAUAAAAUUCUCCAUGAAAUUGUUCUAGUAAUACAUUUAAGAUGGUAAAAGUUCUUUAAGUUUGACUGUCAAUUUUUAGGUCAAUAGACAUAAUUUAAUGCUUUACUUGCAUGCUAUUGGUGAGUGUGAUGAUGGAUUUUAUGUUGAUUAAUUGAGUUUGAUUGUAAAAAUUACCUAGGGAGGACUACCUAAAGCCUAUACUCUAUUAUUCUUUUUGUGUGAUAUAUACUCAUGACAAUUGAACUCUAGAACUUGCUUAGCUGCUUUUUUAAGUCACAAUACCAUAUGUAUGCAUGGAGAUGAUGAAGGAUAUUUUCUUUCCUAUUCUUUGAUUCCUUUUCCCUUUCAAAUACAAGUUAAAUCCCUCACUCAAUACUUUUAUCUUUCACCAUAUUUGCUUGACAUUCUUUCAUUGAGAGUUUGGAUUGAUGUCUUGAUGAGUUAGAAGACCCAAAAUUCUAAGUGUGGGGGAAGGGUUGCAUAUGUGGGGAGAUCUUGAAGUUUUGGGUGGGUUCAUGGUGUUUUAGAUCUCUGAUUUUUUAGCAUGUUUUGGAUGUUUAGUUCAAGCUUAUGCUAUUGUGGAAAAUGGGAGCAAAGAGCAUUCCUUGGAUGUAUUAAACCAUUGCCUUGCUAUUGUCAUUUGGUGUAUUGUGAUGUUUAAUAGUUAUGGCUGAAAUUCAAAGGUUCUACUUUUGGUUUUGUUGGGAUAGAAGGCUAGAAUUGUUGAUCCUAACUGAUUAGAUGCACUCAGAUUUUUGAUGUUGGUGAAGUCCUUGAGCUAGAAAAUUUCAAAAUCUGAGGAAGCAACAGUCAUGUUCUUGUGUAAAUAUGAGGGAAUACUGUUUUAGUGGUGUAAGAUUUAGUAACACAUCUAAUAGAAAAAAUUUGAAAGAAAGCUCAAAAAAGAAAAAAUUGGAUGGCUGCUGAUCUUAAGGAUUGCUGCUAGAAAAAUUCUUAGCAGUUCAUAUUUCAAGGGUUGUUGUUAAGGAAUGAAGAUCCAUCAAAGUGAAGUGAAGAAGAAUAGAAAAAAAUUGAGGAAGUAUUAUCUGCUAUUGCUGAAUUCAGAAAUAACUGCUAAGUGAAGUGCCAAUUCUUAUUGAAUUUUCUUAUCAACAACAAAUUGGAAUUGAAGCUCCAACUAUAUUCUGAACUGGAGUCGGAAAAAAAAUUCGAAAGUUUUCAUUCAUUUGAUUUUUAAUUUUUGAAACUUUGAAGUCAGAAAAUUGCAGAAUUCAAAAUGUAAAUGACACAUCUGGAAUCUUGAAUCCGAGGGAGUGUUUGGUUGAUGGGUUUGGGAAUAAAGGAAUGGAAUGAUAGUAAAAGAUAAUAUUUGAAUUGUAAGUUUGGGAAUGAUAAUUUAGAAAUGAUUUCCAGAUUAAUGAGAAUCAGCAAAACCCAUAUAACUGGUAGGUUUCAUUCCCAUUCUCAUUCUCAUUCCACCUUACUAUCAAACACAUACUCAUAGUCAUUCCAAUCAUUUAACCAAACGCCACUUGAAUUUAGAAUGCUGGAAAUGGAAUCAAAGCCCAGCAUUGUUCCAACUCUAAAUGCUGAUUAUGAAUAGAAAUAAUUCUAAUUCAAACUUCUACCAUUGGAAUGCUAAAUGAGUCCUUUGUCUAAGCUGAAUUCUUCAUUGACUUAAGUUGGAAUUCUCUUGAAUCCCAAUUCUGAAACUUAAAGUUUCAAUUAUGAAAAUUCUGAAUUCUAGUUCUGUAAUCUGAAGUUCUAAAAUUUUCAGGAGGGAGUCUUGAAUGCAAAUUGAAAGCCUCUUUGGUGUGCCUAUGGUGGGGGAGUUAAUGAACUUUAAUUAGUGCUGGGCUAUUGCACACAGAUGAGGAGUUGCAGAAAAUAAGAAGGAUUGAAAAAAAAAUAAUAACAACAGUUUAGUGCCAAGUAGAUCCCUGUUUCUAACCAGCGAAUACCUUAAAUUGAGGCUCCUAACAAUUCAGUGCUAAAUGGUAUUAUAACCUCUAUAAACUCUACAUGAGUCAGGCCUAAACUACUUCAGACUUUCAAAAUCUGAAACUGAGUUCUGGAAAACUAGAAUUUCUGAAAUGAGUUUCAUUUCUGGAGUUUUGGCAUGAUUUUGAAUAUGGUUUUGAAUUCAUGAAUUGUAGAGAUCAGUUCCAUGAUUUCAGCAAGUUUUUCUAGUUAAUAGAGAAAGAAAAAAAUAACAGUGAUAUCAGGAUUUUGGAGUCAAAAGCAAACUAAAUUGUGUCAAACUCUCUUGAAUAAUUCUGGACAGUGACAAAUCCAACUUGAGUCAUGUAUUGUAGUGUCAUUUGGUGUUUUACUCUUAUCAAAUUUUAGUUAAUCAAAACUUUGAAAUCCAGGAAUCAGAAUUAAAUUGAUAUCAGGAUUUUUAGAAUUUGGAAUUGUUUGGAUGGGAAUGCAGGGAAUAGGUGUUUCUUUAUCUAAACAACUUGCUGCAAGUUCUGAUCAUUGAAGAACUGAAGUGAAGCUCUUAGUCACUAAUUGACAAGGGAAGGAAGGAUGAUUACAUAAUAGUGUAGGGAUUAUUUGAAGAUGAAGGAGGGCAAUGGCAACAGCCAUAGACAGUGCUGAUUUCUGAACAAUCUUCAUAUAUAAGUUUCUAAAAUUCUGAUUCUUUGGCAGCUUCAAUGAUCCGAGCUUUUGCUGGAUUUGAGGUUAUGAAUCAAAUUGCUUGGUUGCUUGAGUUCAGAAAGAAUAAAAGAGGGAGUGUCUUGAUCUCUAUGUGCCAACCCAAUGUUAUGAUGGCUAUGUUUUCCUAGGCAGAAUUCAGAAUUUAGUCCAAUCUUGGAUGUGAGUUCUGAAUUUAUUUUAGAGCUUAUGAAUUGUAGGAUUGAUCAUCUUAAAUAUUUCCUAGAACCUUUGAACUUGUACAUCACAGCAGUCCAGUUGUAAGUUGUGUAGUUUAUAAAAAAAAAAGAGAAGAAGAAGAAAAUAGUCAUACAAAAGAAGGUGUGCCAAGUUGGAGCUAUAGCGUGCCGAAUUCUUUGAGUAGUUAUUUGAUCAGAGGAAAGCCAAACUAGAUCUCUUGAUCUAUCAUUUACAAAUGGUAUUCUUAUAUAUAUGACAUUUGGUUGACUCAUCAGAUUUAUCAAUCCAACCUCUCAAUUUCCAUUCAUUGAUUCUUCUUUUCUUAUCUAGUCUUUUGCUUGUUCUCUUAUUUUCUUCACACAGUUAUAAAAUUAUUUCAAUUCAUGCAUGUUAUAUAUUUACAAUGAUGGAGAAUUAGAAAAUAAGCAAGCUUAUGGUAGUGAAAUAUUGUGAGUUGCAUUGAGUGAACCUCCACUUCCAUCCAUAUUUGAGUGUGAGAGUUAGAGUAGGUACAUUUACCUGGUAAGGUUGUAUCUUUCUUAAUUUUUCAAAUGGAUGAUAUCACCAUGCCUAUUGAUUAUUGGAGUAAUUGUAUUCAUGAUUGUUUUGAUCUUUAGAUGAUCUUAGUUAAAUUUCUUUUAUUAUCUUCUAGGUAUUGCUAGGAAAUUAUUGUGGAGAUAGUUUUUAGUUAUUUCUUUGUUUUGUUUACUUGUCGGGACGUGCAAGAAUAAGUGUGAGGGAAUUUGAUAACCAUCAUUUGAUUAUGAUAUUUUGAUUCAUAUAAACAUACUUUUUAAUCUUCUCAUCUCAUGUGUUAAUUUCAUGUUUACAUCAUGUUUUAUGAGUUAGAGUCAUUUUUAGACUUAGUUGCAAACUAUUUCAUAAUUACAAUGUUUGAUGUUAAUAUUUGAAUAUGAUCUUUGUAGGCAUCAAAGGGCAAGGAAUCAAGUCAGAUCGAUCCAAAUUGGGCUCAAUUCUGAGAUUAAUUGGGGAGAUCAAUCUUCGAAGAAAUCUAGGUCGUCCAUUCGAGAUUCGGAGAGAUCUAUGUCAUCCAUUAAACAUAUGCUCCAUCCAAGUCAAAGAGAGGGUAGAUAAGGACCAUAGAUCAAGAUCUGAAUCCUUUGAACUAGAUCUGAAUCCUUUGAACUAGAUCUGAACUAAUCCGACCGUUGAUCAAGAUAUGGAAGAAUCUUAGCCGUCCAUCCGAAUCUGAUCAGAUUUAAAUUCUGUGAGAAACUACAGUGCCCGUGUUCAUCAAUUUGCUGAGUGUAGGCGCGAUCGCGUCUUCUUCCCCAGGUGAUCCCGCACCUCUAUCCACCUUCCACAGCCGGUAACCAAUGAGGUCAAGGGCAUUUCCCUUCCUCUGAUCAUCAUCCAUCUUCAAGCCGGCGAUGCCACUUCAAUCAUCUGAUCUAUAUCUUGAUCGCGAUCUUUGGAGACGAAGCAGAGGGCGCGACUACAUCUUCUGCAUCCGCUUCCGUCGGCCACUGGAGCUCCCUCCACCAUCAGAGUAGGGUCAAGGAGUUUCACUUCUCUAUUCCACCUCCAUUCCAUUCAAGCUCCGACCACAUUUCAGCCAUCUCCGUCGCAUUCUUCUUCGACACAGAGCCGCCGCCGAGCCACCAUCUGACGCCAUCCUCCAUCACAUUUUCGACGCCGAUCAUCGAGACUCAAUCAUCGGAGGAGAGUGGGGUUUACCUUCUUCUCCAGAUCGGAGUUUCGAGCAGCUCUGCCAUCAUCUUCUUCGCCACUGAUCUCCUUUGUUCUAUUUUAGCAUGGAGAAGUACUAGCUUGGCUGUAAGCUCCAUUUUGAAAUUUGAUACUUCUUUGAUGUAUUGAUUGCUUGCUUGUGUUCAUGUUUUAAUUCCGGUAUGAAUUCAUUGUUGGUUGAAUUGUAAUUGACUUGAAUUCCCCAUAUUUUGGAUUUCAUGUAUCUGGGUCU